This 270-nucleotide ribosomal RNA is filed under the name uncultured archaeon. RNAcentral's name for it is "partial 16S ribosomal RNA". It matches the Rfam family "Archaeal small subunit ribosomal RNA", at positions 477 to 747 of the family's 1478-position model. The record is from RNAcentral.
CAGCACCUCAAGUGGUCAGGAUGAUUAUUGGGUCUAAAGCAUCCGUAGCCGGCGCUGUAAGUUUUCGGUUAAAUCUGUACGCUCAACGUACAGGCUGCCGGGAAUACUGCAGCGCUAGGGAGUGGGAGAGGUAGACGGUACUCGGUAGGAAGGGGUAAAAUCCUUUGAUCUAUUGAUGACCACCUGUGGCGAAGGCGGUCUACCAGAACACGUCCGACGGUGAGGGAUGAAAGCUGGGGGAGCAAACCGGAUUAGAUACCCGCGUAGUCC